GAUGAAGAACGUAGCGAAAUGCGAUAAGUAGUGUGAAUUGCAGAAUUCAGUGAAUCAUCGAAUCUUUGAACGCACAUUGCGCCUUCUAGUAUUCUGGGAGGCAUGCCUGUUUGAGCGUCAUUAAACCUCUCUCAAGUAUGAUUACUUGGAUAUGAAGGAAGAGUACCUUAAACUUAAGGAGUGUUCUCCUUUGAAAUUGAUUAGCAGAUGGUAAUGUUAUUAAAUCCCUGAUGUUGUAAGAAAUAACAGUGGUUUUGUAGACUAUUAUCUAGCUUUAAAUUAUAAUUUUUAUUAUGGUUGACCUCAAAUCAGGUAAGGAUACCCGCUGAACUUAAGCAUAUCAAUAAGCGGAGGA
Molecule: unclassified non-coding RNA, 355 nt
Filed under: soil metagenome
Description: partial contains 5.8S ribosomal RNA, internal transcribed spacer 2, and large subunit ribosomal RNA
Rfam family: 5.8S ribosomal RNA (bases 1-120)
Source: RNAcentral